This 501-nucleotide ribosomal RNA is filed under the name uncultured bacterium. RNAcentral describes it as "partial 16S ribosomal RNA". It matches the Rfam family "Bacterial small subunit ribosomal RNA", at positions 30 to 523 of the family's 1533-position model. The record is from RNAcentral.
AUUGAACGCUGGCGGCAGGCUUAACACAUGCAAGUCGAGUGGGGGAGGUUACUUCGGUAACUGACCUAGCGGCGGACGGGUGAGUAAUGCUUAGGAAUCUGCCUAUUAGUGGGGGACAACAUUCCGAAAGGAAUGCUAAUACCGCAUACGCCCUACGGGGGAAAGCAGGGGAUCUUCGGACCUUGCGCUAAUAGAUGGGCCUAAGUCGGAUUAGCUAGUUGGUGGGGUAAAGGCCUACCAAGGCGACGAUCUGUAGCGGGUCUGAGAGGAUGAUCCGCCACACUGGGACUGAGACACGGCCCAGACUCCUACGGGAGGUAGCAGUGGGGAAUAUUGGACAAUGGGCGGAAGCCUGAUCCAGCCAUGCCGCGUGUGUGAAGAAGGCCUUUUGGUUGUAAAGCACUUUAAGCGAGGAGGAGGCUCCUUUAGUUAAUACCUAAAGAGAGUGGACGUUACUCGCAGAAUAAGCACCGGCUAACUCUGUGCCAGCCGCCGCAGUAA